Chelonoidis abingdonii (Abingdon island giant tortoise) is the source of this 368-nucleotide non-coding RNA. The record is from RefSeq and is a predicted model, not a curated record. Lineage: Eukaryota; Metazoa; Chordata; Testudines; Testudinidae.
GUAUAAAGGCAUCAAAGGGAGGGUAUUGAUAGGGAACCACCCCCCCCUUGACCCUACCUUACCCAAGGCCCCAGGCUUUUUGCUGAGAAUAGAGUAAGAGUAGGCCCAAAAGCCUUUAGCUAGGAGCAACAGUUUUAACUUCUGCUAAACUUGUUCUUCUGUACAAAGGGCAUGCCGAGGCAGAAAGAUGUGGUCAGGGCCCCAAAAAGAGGAACUAGCAUUGGAUAAAGGGGAACCUGGAGAUCUGUUAAGUUACAACAGCUGAGCCUGCUGUCGGGCCUAUAGAAAAGGUGCUAGAACGGUCAAACCGCAGACUUGACUGGCAAAGACAAUAACAGGAAAAGCCAUAGAGGGAAAAUUGGGGUUUU